UUUUCCCUAAAGAGGUUCAAACCAGUUGUUCAACAGAUUGUGGGUGAAAGAUUUCACAGGUCAAUUAUUCCCUUCUAAAGGACUCGAAAGAAAGAACAUAAAAAUUUUUUUAAAAAGAAAUGUGAGAUAAAAUUACUCACAAAGAAAAAAAGGGAAAAAAAAAAUCGAAAAGAAGAAGAAGAGGACAAGUAUUUAACAUGAGAUUACUGA
This 210-nucleotide unclassified non-coding RNA is filed under the name Hevea brasiliensis (rubber tree). Lineage: Eukaryota; Viridiplantae; Streptophyta; Magnoliopsida; Malpighiales; Euphorbiaceae. The record is from RNAcentral.